CCUACGGGUGGCUGCAGUGGGGAAUAUUGCGCAAUGGGCGAAAGCCUGACGCAGCGACGCCGCGUGAGGGAUGAAGGUCUUCGGAUCGUAAACCUCUGUCAGCAGGGAAGAACGGGCACGGGGCUAAUCAGCAGUGAAUUGACGGUACCUGCAAAGGAAGCACCGGCUAACUCCGUGCCAGCAGCCGCGGUAAUACGGAGGGUGCGAGCGUUCACCGGACUUACUGGGCGUAAAGCGCGCGCAGGCGGUAUGUCAAGUCAAGGGUGAAAUCCCCGCGCUCAACGUGGGAACGGCCUUUGAAACUGGCGACCUGGAGUGUGUGAGAGGAUAGUGGAAUUCCAGGUGUA
RNAcentral lists this ribosomal RNA (347 nucleotides) under uncultured bacterium. RNAcentral's name for it is "partial 16S ribosomal RNA". It matches the Rfam family "Bacterial small subunit ribosomal RNA", at positions 338 to 677 of the family's 1533-position model. The record is from RNAcentral.